AAAGCACUUACCCCUUGCUUUUUGGAUGGUAAUAUAGUUUAGUGCUUUUUAGAAUCAAUUUGAUUAUGUUGACGGUGAAAAACAAAUCUCUACUGGAAAGAUUGUUUGGCAAAGGAAAAUCAGAUGUCAGACACUUACCUAUUCAACAAGCAAGAAACAUGACUUCUUCAGCUAAACUCACAUAUGUUGGGAGGGGGAAGUCAAGUUAAAUAUUGGUCUAUAUGCCUUGCAGCAAUCAUCUACAAAGGAUGUGAAGUUGUACGAGCUGGAGAUUCCUUGUUCA
RNAcentral lists this unclassified non-coding RNA (283 nucleotides) under Hevea brasiliensis (rubber tree). The record is from RNAcentral. Lineage: Eukaryota; Viridiplantae; Streptophyta; Magnoliopsida; Malpighiales; Euphorbiaceae.